AACGAACGCUGGCGGCAUGCCUAACACAUGCAAGUCGAACGAACCCUUCGGGGUUAGUGGCGCACGGGUGCGUAACGCGUGGGGAUCUGCCCAAAGGUUCGGAAUAACUCAGAGAAAUUUGAGCUAAUACCGGAUAAUGUCUUCGGACCAAAGAUUUAUUGCCUUUGGAUGAACCCGCGUAGGAUUAGCUUGUUGGUGGGGUAAAGGCCUACCAAGGCGACGAUCCUUAGCUGGUCUGAGAGGAUGAUCAGCCACACUGGGACUGAGACACGGCCCAGACUCCUACGGGAGGCAGCAGUGGGGAAUAUUGGACAAUGGGGGAAACCCUGAUCCAGCAAUGCCGCGUGCGUGAAGAAGGCCUUAGGGUUGUAAAGCGCUUUCACCUGUGAUGAUGAUGACAGUAGCAGGAGAAGAAGCCCCGGCUAACUCCGUG
Molecule: ribosomal RNA, 433 nt
Filed under: uncultured bacterium
Lineage: Bacteria
Description: bacterial SSU rRNA
Rfam family: Bacterial small subunit ribosomal RNA
Source: RNAcentral